RNAcentral lists this ribosomal RNA (253 nucleotides) under uncultured bacterium. RNAcentral describes it as "partial 16S ribosomal RNA". It matches the Rfam family "Bacterial small subunit ribosomal RNA", at positions 524 to 776 of the family's 1533-position model. The record is from RNAcentral.
UACGUAGGCAGCGAGCGUUGUUCGGAGUUACUGGGCGUAAAGGGUGCGUAGGCGGUUGUUUAAGUUUGGUGUGAAAUCUCCCGGCUCAACUGGGAGGGUGCGCCGAAUACUGAAUGACUAGAGUGCGGGAGAGGAUAGUGGAACUCCUGGUGUAGCGGUGAAAUGCGUAGAUAUCAGGAGGAACACCGGUGGUGUAGACGGCUAUCUGGACCGUAACUGACGCUGAGGCACGAAAGCGUGGGUAGCAAACAGG